This 253-nucleotide ribosomal RNA is filed under the name uncultured bacterium. RNAcentral describes it as "partial 16S ribosomal RNA". It matches the Rfam family "Bacterial small subunit ribosomal RNA", at positions 524 to 776 of the family's 1533-position model. The record is from RNAcentral.
GACGAAGGAUGCAAGCGUUAUCCGGAUUUAUUGGGUUUAAAGGGAGCGUAGGUGGCCUUAUAAGUCAGCGGUGAAAUCCAGCAGCUUAACUGUUGAAUUGCCAUUGAUACUGGAGAGCUUGAGUACAGACGAGGUAGGCGGAAUUUAUGGUGUAGCGGUGAAAUGCAUAGAUACCAUAAAGAACACCGAUUGCGAAGGCAGCUUACUAGGCUGUAACUGACGCUGAGGCACGAAAGUGUGGGGAUCAAACAGG